CUUGCAAACUGGAGAUGGCGACCGGCGCACGGGUGAGUAACACGUAUCCAACCUGCCGAUAACUCGGGGAUAGCCUUUCGAAAGAAAGAUUAAUAUCCGAUGGUAUAUUAAAACCGCAUGGUUUUACUAUUAAAGAAUUUCGGUUAUCGAUGGGGAUGCGUUCCAUUAGUUUGUUGGCGGGGUAACGGCCCACCAAGACUACGAUGGAUAGGGGUUCUGAGAGGAAGGUUCCCCACAUUGGAACUGAGACACGGUCCAA
Molecule: ribosomal RNA, 259 nt
Filed under: uncultured bacterium
Lineage: Bacteria
Description: partial 16S ribosomal RNA
Rfam family: Bacterial small subunit ribosomal RNA
Source: RNAcentral